CGCUUUACCCCCCUUGGAAAAAAUCCUGGGAACGCCCAUGGUCACAGCCGGCAGAUGGCAGGCUCGAGAAAUAAUUGUAGCCUAUCGGGGAAGCAAAAACGUAGUUAUAGGCGUCUGUCAGUGUCUGUGAUAAAGAAGUUGAAUCCUUGAAAGUGUGCAUCGGCGGCAGAACUUGGCCAGUGAGUUCCAGAGGCCGGAAGACACAGGAAGAAACAAUAUAAAGAGACCGGUAGCCAUGCAUAAGGCGUGAAGGAGCGUGAGGAUACAGUUGCAUCGAUUUCAUGCAAGAUGCCGGCUAAUUAUAUGGCGAGUAACAUGGCUGUUUUUUUGUUUUUUUUUACAUAACGUGGCGAUAUUGUGAUCACGAUCUGUAUGAACGGGAAUGAUCUGGAUAUGGCACCUUGUCACGUUCUUUCAUUAUUUGAACUGCUGAUGCAGGCAUGUACGAUAAAGUCCACAUAGAAAUAAAGUUUUUUGGGUGCA
Long non-coding RNA from Ornithodoros turicata, 483 nucleotides. RefSeq lists it as uncharacterized. Lineage: Eukaryota; Metazoa; Arthropoda; Arachnida; Ixodida; Argasidae. The record is from RefSeq and is a predicted model, not a curated record. The transcript is spliced from 2 exons.